This 549-nucleotide ribosomal RNA is filed under the name uncultured bacterium. Its description in RNAcentral is "partial 16S ribosomal RNA". It matches the Rfam family "Bacterial small subunit ribosomal RNA", at positions 355 to 895 of the family's 1533-position model. The record is from RNAcentral.
UGGGGAAUUUUGGACAAUGGGCGAAAGCCUGAUCCAGCAAUGCCGCGUGUGUGAAGAAGGCCUUCGGGUUGUAAAGCACUUUUGUCCGGAAAGAAAUCCUUGGCUCUAAUACAGUCGGGGGAUGACGGUACCGGAAGAAUAAGCACCGGCUAACUACGUGCCAGCAGCCGCGGUAAUACGUAGGGUGCAAGCGUUAAUCGGAAUUACUGGGCGUAAAGCGUGCGCAGGCGGUUUGCUAAGACCGAUGUGAAAUCCCCGGGCUCAACCUGGGAACUGCAUUGGUGACUGGCAGGCUAGAGUAUGGCAGAGGGGGGUAGAAUUCCACGUGUAGCAGUGAAAUGCGUAGAGAUGUGGAGGAAUACCGAUGGCGAAGGCAGCCCCCUGGGCCAAAUACUGACGCUCAUGCACGAAAGCGUGGGGAGCAAACAGGAUUAGAUACCCUGGUAGUCCACGCCCUAAAACGAUGUCAACUAGUUGUUGGGGAUUCAUUUCCUUAGUAUCGUAGCUAACGCGUGAAGUUGACCGCCUGGGGAGUACGGUCGCAAGAUU